UACGUAGGUGGCAAGCGUUGUCCGGAUUUACUGGGCGUAAAGAGCGCGCAGGCGGUCGUUCAAGUCGCGUGUGAAAGCCCCCGGCUCAGCUGGGGAGGGUCACGCGAUACUGAUCGACUCGAAGGCAGGAGAGGGAAGUGGAAUUCCCGGUGUAGUGGUGAAAUGCGUAGAUAUCGGGAGGAACACCAGUGGCGAAGGCGACUUCCUGGCCUGUUCUUGACGCUGAGGCGCGAAAGCUAGGGGAGCAAACGGG
This 253-nucleotide ribosomal RNA is filed under the name uncultured bacterium. Its description in RNAcentral is "partial 16S ribosomal RNA". It matches the Rfam family "Bacterial small subunit ribosomal RNA", at positions 524 to 776 of the family's 1533-position model. The record is from RNAcentral.